GUCAUAAUCUGUGCUGUUUUUUUGGAAUUGGUCAUGGCUGCGGCGUACCUAUGUUGUUCUUAUGCUUGAAAAAUUGUUGUGAAUAAAAAAUAGAAAUCCCUUUUUUAAAAUGGGUGCAUCCACUAAAUUCAUAUCUGAUUAUUGUAAAACGUGGGAAAAAUCGGGACGAGAUCAAUUUAUAAAAUCAGUUACACAAUACGUAAAAGAUGAGGGAAAGACGCCCUUAUUUUCAAAAUCCGGAAAACUAUCUGGAUUAUCUCAAAGCAUUUAUGAUUUGUUAUCAUGUGGUCUUCGGGGCUUGUUGAAAAAGGACUCUGUUAUUUCUGUGCUGAAAGAUAUAAUUGUUUCGCAUGCAGACCUACCAUCCAUAUUAUUAGAUGUAGUAUGCAUACUUGACUCCGAAACAUCUAUGGAUAUUCACAGUGAAGAGCGAAGUAACUUUUGUUAUUUAGUAAGAGAGUUGGAAUCGAUUAUAUCUGACAAAUUAUUAAAGGAGCGCUUAGAAAUCGACACAUUACAAGAUGUUGGUACCUUGAAAAAUAAAAACUUUUAUACAAAAUUUAUUAAAAUAAAAACUAAGUUGUAUUAUAAGCAACGUAAGUUCAACUUAUUUAGAGAAGAAAGUGAAGGAUAUUCUAAGCUUAUUGUGGAAUUGAAUCAGGAAAUUUCAGAAAACACUGACUGGAAAACUAUACUUGAAAUUAUUCAGUCUCUUAUAGGUUGCUUCAACUUGGAUCCUAACAGAGUCCUUGACAUUAUUUUAGAAUCUUUUGAGGCACGGCCGAACUUAGAUAAAUUAUUUAUUUCACUGAUUAAGAACUACAUGGGGGAUCCCCAAGUAAUUUCAGAAGUAUUAGGUUUUAAAUUAGGUAACAUGGAAGUCUUAGAAAGUUAUAAGGAACCACCUGCACUAAUGACUGUGAUAGCUUUACUUUUACAACAUGAAGUUAUAUCAUUAGAUGACAUUUAUCCAUGGUUACGUCCAGACGACACACUAAUGGCCAAAGAAGCUGACAAGGAAUUAAAAGCAAUUCAAGAUUAUAUCCGGAAAUUAAAUAUUGUUUCUACUAAAGGACCUCAAAGUAAUGCACCAGCUGAAUUUAUUGAAGAAAAAGCUGAUCCCCAAGAAUACUGGAACAAUCAAAAACUAGUGCUCUGUGAAGCCCUUUUGAAUGUUACGGCUUGGAAAGAGUUUGCAGCACUAUCAGCUCGACUACCAACUACAAGUGUUGCACAACGCCCAGCUGUAGCCCUUUGUAAUAUGCUACAUGCUUUAGUUGAACCUCUUUAUAGAAAGCAUUGCCGUAUCGCUCCAAAAAUUAUAGGCAAACCAAUCCCACCACUAUUAUCAAGCCUUGCACCAACACCUUGCAAGAAUUUUGAAGAUAUGAAAGAAACGGUUAUACCAGCACUUGUACUGCUUGGACCAUCUCUUCAUUAUGAUCCUAUUUUAAUGUAUAAAAUAAUUCGUAUUCUACGAACUGCACGAACAUUAGUAGAAGACCCACUGCAUCAUGAAGCAUUAACGGUAUUAGAUACUGCCAUACUUCCAGCACUAACCUUAAUGGAAGGUAACUGUUGCAUGGCUGAAGAAGUUUACACUUUGCUGAAGUUAUACCCGUACCAAUGCAGAUAUUGUCUAUAUGCUCGCUGGAAGAAUGAGGCCGGUGAGAAAAUUCCGUCUUUGAUGCGCGUUCGCGGUAACUCUUUACAACGUAUCAAGCACAUUAUGAAACGAGUUUCUAAGGAAAAUAUUAAACCUCAGGGUCGUCUCAUUGGGAAACUGUCGCAUGCGGCAUCCGCUUUCCUCUUCGAUUACAUGCUUUUGCAGAUCCAAACGUACGACAACCUGAUCGGGCCCGUGGUGGAGUCGCUGAAGUAUCUGACGUCGCUGUCACUGGAUGUGCUGGGCUACUGCCUGGUGGAGGCGCUGGCGGCUCGGCGCGGCACGGUGGGCGCGGCGCACCCGCCAGCGCUGCAGGCUCUCGCUGCUUUCGCCGCCGCCGCCUUCAAGAAGCACAACAUCGAGCUCACUGCUCUGCUGCAGUUCGUUGCGAAUCGCUUGAAAGCGCAACAAAGUCAUGAUCUACUGAUUCUUAAAGAGAUAGUACAAAAGAUGGCAGGUAUAGAAGCUGCAGAGGAAAUUACACCUGAACAGCUGGAUGCCAUGGCCGGUGGAGAACUAUUAAAAGGAGAGGCGGGGUAUUUUUCACAAGUUAGAAAUACUAGGCGAUCAUCUGCUAGAUUAAAGGAGGCCGUGGUUGGAAAUAACCUUGACAUUGCUCUUUGUAUCUUAUCUGCACAACAAAGGCACUGCUGUGUUUGGAAAGAAUAUGCAGAAGACAGCCCCAGUUCUGGUGAGCCACCAGGCUCACAACUAAAAGUAGUGGGCCGUCUUGCAGACCAGUGUCAAGAUGCACUAGUCCAAUUGGGUACCUUUUUGGCCUCCUCGCAUGCACCUGACGAGUAUGCGGCUAGACUUCCUCCCCUUCAGGAAUUGUUACGAGAUUAUCAUGUUGAUGCUGAUGUGGCAUUCUUCCUACAUCGCCCAGUAUUAGCUCAGAAAAUUGCAGCAAAAGCAGAAGCAUUUAGAAAAAGUUCAGAUAGUAAAAGUGAAUCAAUGGAAAAAAGUAUAGAAAGAUAUAACAUUGCAUCCAGGGAGGCCUUGGAGCCAGUUGUGACUUCAAUAACACCUUUAUUGCCUAAUAAAGUAUGGGAAGAUAUAUCGCCUGAAUUUUAUGUUACUUUUUGGUCUCUAUCAAUGUAUGACCUUCGAGUUCCAGUAGAGAGUUAUGAAAGAGAAAUAGAACGUUUGAAAACUGCAGCCUCGAAUGCUGCCAAAGACACAUCGCAGGGAACAAAAGGAAAGAAGGAGCAGGAACGCUUCAACACGCUCAUUGAUAAACUACAGGAGGAGCGGCGGCGCCAGGAGGAGCACGUGUCGCGCGUGCGCGCGCGCCUGCAGCGCGAGUGCAGCGGCUGGUUCCCCGCGCGCGCCGCCAAGUCCGCCAAGAACGAGACCGUGACGCGCCUCAUGCAGCUGUGCCUGUUCCCGCGCUGCGUGUUCACGGCGCCCGACGCGCUGUACUGCGCCGAGUUCGUGCACACCGUGCACGCGCUCAAGACGCCCAACUUCUCCACGUUGCUGUGCUACGACAGGCUGUUCUGCGACAUCACGUACUCCGUGAUGUCGUGCACGGAGGGCGAGGCGGCGCGCUACGGGCAGUUCCUGUGCCGCGUGCUGCGCACGGCCAUGCGCUGGCACGCCGACUGCGCCGCCUUCCACAGCGAGUGCGCGCACUAUCCCGGCUUCGUCACCAAGUAUCGUGUCUCCAAUCAGUUCACCGAGGCCAAUGACCACGUCGGAUACGAGAACUACAGGCACGUGUGUCACAAAUGGCAUUACAAGAUUACGAAGGCCAUGGUGGUCUGCCUGGACUCGGGCGACUACGUGCAAAUCCGCAACGCGCUCAUCGUACUUAUCCGCAUCCUGCCACACUUCCCCGUGCUCGCCAAGCUCGCGCAGAUCAUAGAGAAGAAGGUCGAGAAGGUUAAAGAAGAAGAGAAAACGCAGAGACAGGACUUAUAUGUUCUUGCAACCGGUUACAGCGGCCAGUUACGAAACAAAGUUCCUAUGAUGAAAGAGAGUGACUUUCACCAGAUCGUCAACUUGCAGGUGAGCGCGACGGGCGCGGCGGGCGCGGCGGGUGCGGCGGGGGCAGGCGGCGCGGGGGGCGCGGGCGGCGCGACGCGGGACGACGCGCCCAAGCUGCGGGACGACGAAAUGCAGCCCGCAGACGUCGAAAAGAAGGAGACGAGGACGAGUGACAGACGUCGCGACGAUUCAGACCGAGAGAAGGAAUCCAAACGUGAAUCAAGAUCGUCUUUGAAGGAAAGAAACAAAGAGGAGAUACGAAGCAAAGACAGAUCUCCAAGAGACAGAUCACACAGAGAGGAACGUUAUUUGGAGUCCGUUUCACCGCCUCAUGAUCAUCGUCAUCCACCCGAUGACAUAGAUCGAGAUGUGAAACGUCGUAAAGUUGAAAGCAGCGGCAAUGGCAAGGUGAGUAACGUUAUAAUAAAUCGGCCUUGCAUCGCUCUAGCGCCGGACUGACGGUUGGGCUGCACGAGACAUGAAAAUCUCCUCUGCUAAAUCAUACUUGUGUACAAGAUGUGAACACUAUAAGACGCUCUGUGAAAAAACUCUAAGACUUCAGUGCUUAAAUUGUAAAUGUGCAGUUUAAAAUAAUAAUAGUUAAAUAAAUUUUGUCCUAAAAUAAAUAUGGACUUCAUCUAUUAAUCAAAUAACAAAAACUCAAGAUACUUCUCAUCAACAAUAACAAAUACAACUGAAGACCCUACUAUAAGAAGCAAAGAAGAUUUCGGACAAAGAAUUGAAGGGAAAUAAUAUCAAUAUGGGAACCGUAAACCAUUAUGUACAAUAUUAACGUAUAUUGUAAAUUUUGCAUGUGAAUGUUUACUUUAAUUUUAAUGGAUUCAAUUAUUUAUGUCUAAAUGAAGAAAAGUUUCACGCAAAGUCCAAUGUACGAUCUCAGGACACACCACAACCAAAAUGAGUAAUGAAGUUUGAAAUGAAAGCCUCCAAACUAUAUUUAAAAUACCCUGCGCUAUUUAAUAUUGAGCAGACGAUCUCAGGAUUAUGCUGAAAAUAACAGUUGGAGUUCAAUUUUUUUGAAGAAAGGAUAACCAAUGAUAUAAAAUUAAUGUGAAUUAAAUAUCUUUUUAAUCAAAAUAAAACAAAAGGAUCAAAAAUUCGUGUCGUAAGUUCCGUCAGCCCAGUCCAGUCCGCAGUCGAGCACCGGGUAGCAAAGAAAUAGAAGAGCGGUCACCAGAGAAGGAAAAGAGAAAGGCUAAACUAAGAGGGGAUGAAAGGAAAGAGCGUAAGAUGAGUCGAAAGCGGGAUCGAGCCGAAGAUUCAACUAUUUUAGAACAAAAGA
RNA transcript from Vanessa atalanta (red admiral), 4958 nucleotides. It is a transcript of the gene named THO complex subunit 2, with no coding region annotated. The record is from RefSeq and is a predicted model, not a curated record. The transcript is spliced from 26 exons. Lineage: Eukaryota; Metazoa; Arthropoda; Insecta; Lepidoptera; Nymphalidae.